This 627-nucleotide long non-coding RNA is filed under the name Elaeis guineensis (African oil palm). Its description in RNAcentral is "long non-coding RNA (EGUI_LNC043552)". Lineage: Eukaryota; Viridiplantae; Streptophyta; Magnoliopsida; Arecales; Arecaceae. The record is from RNAcentral.
AGCAGAAAAGAAAAGAAGAAAUAAAAUAAAAAACACACAAUCAAGUACGUGAAACAGCCCAAGUGCUGCCUCCACGGGACAGGCAAGCUUCACUGAGAAAAAAAAAUAAUACAAGAGGAGAACAUCUACUCUCAACUCUCUGUAUACAUACAUCUCUCAACUAGAAGCUAUCCUCACAAAAGCUCUCUCAAAAUCUUCCAAAGAGACCCUCUCACAGGCCUGCCAGUAUCAGGAUUUUCGACACCCCUAGAUGCUUCCUGUGAAAACUGCUACAUCAUGCCUCACCGCAACUGCUCUGCCUGAUGCUCUGCUCUGCCCCCGAUCUCCUGUCGGUGCUCUGUAGUGUCUGCUCUGCCUACUGCACACCAUCAAUACAUAUUGGACUCUCUCCUGAUGGCUGCCAAGGCCUCUCCUCAACUCUGAUUUCUCCUCUGCAUGAUCAAGAUGGUAUCAGCUUUUCAACGUAAUAAACGACUCGUCAAUCAGAGAUAUAUAGGCUCCAGAAUCUCAAAAAUAUUAUUACACUAGAAAUACUAAAUCCCAAUCAACCCUUAAACCAUCCAUGGCUGUUCGAUCAUGAUCAGCUCGCAUCAGAGCUGUCGGAUCGCACACUAUAGCUUCAGAUCA